CGUAGGGUGCAAGCGUUAAUCGGAAUUACUGGGCGUAAAGCGUGCGCAGGCGGUUUUGUAAGACAGAGGUGAAAUCCCCGGGCUCAACCUGGGAACUGCCUUUGUGACUGCAAGGCUGGAGUGCGGCAGAGGGGGAUGGAAUUCCGCGUGUAGCAGUGAAAUGCGUAGAUAUGCGGAGGAACACCGAUGGCGAAGGCAAUCCCCUGGGCCUGCACUGACGCUCAUGCACGAAAGCGUGGGGAGCAA
Molecule: ribosomal RNA, 246 nt
Filed under: uncultured bacterium
Lineage: Bacteria
Description: partial 16S ribosomal RNA
Rfam family: Bacterial small subunit ribosomal RNA
Source: RNAcentral